This 254-nucleotide ribosomal RNA is filed under the name uncultured bacterium. RNAcentral's name for it is "partial 16S ribosomal RNA". It matches the Rfam family "Bacterial small subunit ribosomal RNA", at positions 524 to 776 of the family's 1533-position model. The record is from RNAcentral.
UACGAAGGUGGCAAGCGUUGUUCGGAUUUACUGGGCGUACAGGGAGCGUAGGCGGUUGGAUAAGCCCUCCGUGAAAUCUCCAGGCUUAACCUGGAAAGUGCAGAGGGACUGUUCAGCUAGAGGAUGGGAGAGGAGCGCGGAAUUCCCGGUGUAGCGGUGAAAUGCGCAGAUAUCAGGAGGAACACCGGUGGCGAAGGCGGGUCUCUGGGCCGAUACUGACGCUGGAGGAGCGAAAGCGUUGGGGAGCGAACAGG